UGUUGCGACGCCGCACAUUUUGAACCGGUCUAAAAUAUGAACCCGUCUAACCACAACAUAACUGCAGCAUGACAGUUCUCGCGCGGUAGUAGUGGUAGGUGAAAUAAGAGGGAAAGUAGAUGAAUGAGGUGCAAGUAGAAUUCGAUAAAAACAACGGAAUUUCGCCAUCGUAAAAGUAGGAAAAGAAAAUCAGUUUAGAGUUAUUAAAGUUAUUUAAAAUUUAUUUCGGUAACCAAAUUACACUAAUUGGUGCUUCCGUAAGUUGUGGGAGUGCGGUGUAAACUGAUAUACAAAGUCCGUAAGUUGAAACCUGUAGAGAAAAAAGGUAAAUUAUUAGUGAAACUUAGCAAAUACUUACCUGGAUUUCUCCCACUAGCUGUGCAAAUACCGGUGCUUGGUACGCCCCGAAACAGGGGAAAAUAACCAGAAAAGCUGCCGUGCCAGUGGAUUAUAUCGUAAGUAGACGCAAGAAUAGAAGUUUUCUUAUGUGUAAUGUAUAAUUGAAAAUAUUUGUGAUUACAAAAAUAGCAUCCGCGCAACAUACCGAUUAGGGUAACGGCCCCAAUUAUAGUCCAACCAGAGAAUUGAGAAAAGAAGUCGUGGCAAGGAAACCAUUUAAUUGUAAGUUGUUAGUAAUUUUAGUCUGUGUUGUGAAUUGUGUUUAUUGAAUUUGUUAAUAAAUUUCAGUUUAAGCGUUGCUUCAAAAAACCUGAGCCGCUAUAAAAAUCUGGUUUCCCUCUCGGGAACAUUCUUAAAAAUUAAAUGACACCCGCGAAGUAACUUCCGCGAAGUGAUAGUGUCAAGUGAGAAGUUCGGACCUGCCAAAAGAUGACUUCCGAUGCUGAGUCCACCCACAACCAAACCGUCAUGGAUCUGACGGCAACUCAAUGUACGAUUUGUGGACUAUCUACGAGCGACGAGGUGAUGGUCUGCUGUGACGGAUGUUCUAAAUGCUUCCAUAUAUGUUGCGUGGACAUCGAUGAGGACAAUCUGCCGAAGAAGUGGUACUGCCAAAGCAAGGCCUGCCAGAAGAAGGCCCAGGAGUACCGGCAGAAGCAGAAGGACGCCAAGAAGCAGCCUCGCACCCGGAAAAACGACAACGAGUCGGACAUAUCCAGCGUCAGCUCUCGUCUAGCUGCGUCUAGCGUGGAAGCAAAAGGCCGAGCGUUAGAAGAGAAGCAGAAGCAGCAGUAUGAAGAGCUGGAGGUGGAGAUGCUGCUGCGGAAGAAAGAAAUGGCGAUGCAGCGCGCAUUCGAGCAGCGAAAGAUGGAGUUGGAGCUACAGAUGCGUGCUGAAGAAGAAGUGAAGCAAAGGGCAUGGCAAGCGGAGAUGCUCCAAAAGAAGAAGGAGCAGCUUCAGCGGCUGAAGGCGAACAGGAAGUCGUCCUUCGAGAUGCAAAUGGCGGCCAUGGAUGAGGAGUUAGCUGAACUUUCGGGUCGAAAGUCGAAGCCGGCGCCGAAAGUAGUCACGGACGUUUCGCGAGCGAUUCCUUCCGGCAAAAUCAACCCGAACGUGUUGAAGCUGAGCAAGGAGAAGGAGAGAAAGCAAACGCGAGGCUACGACAGCACCGACGAAGAAGACGAGGACGAGUAUUCUGACGAUUCGGAUCUGCAGAGUCAGAGUUCGGUCUCGUCGAUGGAUCGCAAGACAAAACGGAAGAUGCGCAAUAAAGUGGGAAGUCUCAGCCAAAACGGGCUGGGGCAGCAGCAGACCGGACCGACGAAGGCACAGCUGGCUGCGAGGAUGGGGUUAACCUACAAACUCCCAAAAUUCUCCGGCAAACCAGCACAGUGGCCAUUGUUCUACGCGGCCUACAAAGUGUCCAACGAUGUCUGCGGCUACAUGAACCACGAGAACUUGAUGCGACUUCAGGAAGCCCUGGAAGGCGACGCUCUCGAGCUGGUGUCCGGGCAGUUGCUUCUUCCCGAAUCCAUCCCGCAAGUAAUCGAGAAGCUGCGCCGGCACUUCGGCCGCCCGGAACAACUGCUUCAAUGCCUGCUGGACAAGGUGAACCGGCUGGAACCCCCGAGGCCGGACAAUCUGAGGAGUUUUGUUCCAUUCGGAAACACGGUGGAGCAACUCUGCGGCCAUCUAGAGGCAGCGGAUCUACGGCAACACCUCGUCAACCCGCUGCUGAUAAAGUCGCUGGUCGCCAAGCUGCCGGAUCGGGAAAAGCGUGAGUGGGUCCAUUACCGGCGAGGUCGAGGGGAAACAACGUUGCGGACGCUGACGGAUUUCCUGAUGGACAUCGUGGCAGACGCCUGCGAAGCUAACGUUGACGUGGACUUCGUGGAGUUCAAUUCACCGCCGUCGUCCGAAGCAGAUUCCCAAUCCGAAGAGGAGGGUUCGGAUGAGGCUGGACCCAACCCGCUCAUGCAUCCGGUCGAAAAUACGGUCGGGCUAAGUGCACACAUCCGGACAAACUGCACGGUAUUGUUCCGGAUCGUUCCGGUGCAGCUGCACUACGGUGGAAAAACGGUGUCAGUGCUGGCGUUCCUGGACGAAGGUGCUUCCGUCACGCUGGUGGAGAAAAAGCUCGCCGACCGCCUGGGCGCGGUCGGAGUACAAGAGCGAUUGACCAUCCAGUGGACGGGAAACAUGUCGAGAGAGGAGGAUUCCCGAAGAAUGAGUCUUUGGGCGUCGGGAACAGGCGCUGCAGCCGGCGGCAAAAUGCUGUUACACACAGUGCACACGGUAGACAAACUGAUGCUGCCACAUCAAAGGUUGGAUUCUGAGGAGUUUGCAGCACAGUACGAGCACAUGCGAGGACUGCCCAUUGAAUCGUACGACGGACAGCCGCAGUUGCUGAUUGGGGUAAACAAUAUCCACGCGUUUGCACCGAUGGAGGCAAAGGUGGGUACGCCAGUGGAACCGAUUGCUGUUCGAACCAAACUAGGAUGGACGGUCUAUGGGCCGCGACAGCAAACCCCAGCGGCGGCCGACAACUAUCUCGGUUACCACCGGCAGGUAACAAACGAGGAUCUGCCGCCCGAGAGUCAUUAUGCGUCGAAAGAAUCGGUGGUGACAAUUUCACGGGGCACCGUGGAGAAGAAAUGGGCCCAGCGAAUAAGAGAGCGAACCGCCCAACUCGUCGGCGAUCGCUGCGAAGACGAAUCGCUGUCGAAGACCCGGAGACAAGAAAUUAAAACGUGUCGUCAUCCGGACAGCUCCGGAAAAAUCGCCACGAACAUGGCGGUUCUCAUCCCGAACGCAAGAAGACAGGCUGAACAACAAAAUAGGCGGGUUCGAAAUCCGAAACGGGAUGAUCAACUCGCUGGAAGCCUUGCGGAGCCUAGAAGAGGCGAAACCGACGACACCGACGCAUUUGAUGGCGAAGGAGAGAGUCCUGGGAGCGGUCAGGGAUCCAAGUGGGGAUCGGCGUUUUCGACUCGCUUUUCGACGAGGCACCGCGGCGAGUUGUUGCCGCAGUUGUACGAGGAAAAGUGGUCGUCGAGAAAGCUCGUCGCAAGUGUCGCAAAACCGGAGGAAGUCAAGAACGGUCGGCGAAAGGAGAAGCUUGGGGUGAUGCGUGCGCUCGAUGAGGGGCGCAAGUUGUUGGGCAAGAUCCUACCAACGACACUAGCGGAAACGGCUGGCAAUGGUUCGACGAUUCUUCGUGGUCGACGGGAAAUCCCGACAGUCUUGCAGAUGAAGCUUCAUCGCUGCGGUCAUCAAGGUCUCAGAAGGACGAGCUCGACAGACAAACGUGAGGACGAAGAUGGUAAGGCGCAGAGACGGGACUUGGUAAAGCUUGCGUCGUUAAGAGGUAAUGUAAAUCCGAAAAUGCCGGAUGUUACGGGCUGGGGUGUUGCGACGCCGCACAUUUUGAACCGGUCUAAAAUAUGAACCCGUCUAACCACAACAUAACUGCAGCAUGACAGUUCUCGCGCGGUAGUAGUGGUAGGUGAAAUAAGAGGGAAAGUAGAUGAAUGAGGUGCAAGUAGAAUUCGAUAAAAACAACGGAAUUUCGCCAUCGUAAAAGUAGGAAAAGAAAAUCAGUUUAGAGUUAUUAAAGUUAUUUAAAAUUUAUUUCGGUAACCAAAUUACACUAAUUGGUGCUUCCGUAAGUUGUGGGAGUGCGGUGUAAACUGAUAUACAAAGUCCGUAAGUUGAAACCUGUAGAGAAAAAAGGUAAAUUAUUAGUGAAACUUAGCAAAUACUUACCUGGAUUUCUCCCACUAGCUGUGCAAAUACCGGUGCUUGGUACGCCCCGAAACAGGGGAAAAUAACCAGAAAAGCUGCCGUGCCAGUGGAUUAUAUCCAUCCGCGCAACAUACCGAUUAGGGUAACGGCCCCAAUUAUAGUCCAACCAGAGAAUUGAGAAAAGAAGUCGUGGCAAGGAAACCAUUUAAUUGUAAGUUGUUAGUAAUUUUAGUCUGUGUUGUGAAUUGUGUUUAUUGAAUUUGUUAAUAAAUUUCAGUUUAAGCGUUGCUUCAAAAAACCUGAGCCGCUAUAAAAAUCUGGUUUCCCUCUCGGGAACAAUUGCUAAAAAACAACAAAACCUUUUAUUGGCUUCUAACCACUGCUACUUCCGAAGCGUCGAUGGGCGAAUGAGUAAAGCACGCACUCGCUAACCUUGACGUUCCUGGUUCGAUUCCAGGUUGCGAUUUUUUUAAUUUGUGCAAAAUAUUUCAUAAAAGUAAGUAUGAUAUUCAUACGAAAUAAUUUCAGAUUUUAUACGUUAUCGGUAUGGUUUUCAUACGUGUCUGUUAUGAAAUUUAUACAGUAACAGUAUGACAAUAAUAGUUGGCGCUUGGAAUCCAAAAUCAUAGUUCGUAACUAUGAUUUUCGCAAGAAAUUCUUGUGGCAAAAAAUCAUAGUUGAUUCGUAUGAUUUUCGGAGUUGCAGUAUCCUCAGUGUAGGUCGGCUCCAGAGGCACGUUCUCCUCCAUUUGGGAAAUUUGUGCCAUCGCCAUGAACACGAGCCUAUUCAUCAUUUACCUGACGGAGAAGGGAAGGGAAAAGGAUAUGACAGGGGAAAUGACAGGGGAAAUGACAGGUAAG
This is an RNA transcript of Aedes albopictus (Asian tiger mosquito), 5003 nucleotides long. RefSeq lists it as uncharacterized. Lineage: Eukaryota; Metazoa; Arthropoda; Insecta; Diptera; Culicidae. The transcript has 2 exons. The record is from RefSeq and is a predicted model, not a curated record.